Molecule: RNA transcript, 848 nt
Organism: Ipomoea triloba (trilobed morning glory)
Lineage: Eukaryota; Viridiplantae; Streptophyta; Magnoliopsida; Solanales; Convolvulaceae
Gene name: protein NUCLEAR FUSION DEFECTIVE 6, chloroplastic/mitochondrial-like
Exons: 4
Source: RefSeq, a predicted model, not a curated record
GCUUUACAGUUGAAAGAUCAAACCCGAGCCACUCGCAGCGCGAUCUGUACCUGAAGAAACCAUGGCCAGCAUCGCCGCCAGGUCCGUCUUUCGCUCCGCCACAGCCUCCGCCCGGACCGCCGCAACCAGACUGGCAACCGGAGCGAAGCCUAAGACCUCCGCCUCUCCUUUUCGCAUCCCCACUCAGAAGCCCCUCACUGCUCGCAUCUUCAGGUCUCCGUUGGAGUUGAGCUGUGUUAGAUUAGAGACUAUGCUGCCGUAUCACACAGCGACGGCCUGUGCUUUGCUCAAUUCCAUGCUCUCAGUCGCUCCUCGGAGCCGUGGUUGGAGUCUUGAAGAUUGCAAUGAUGAUGCCUGAUAAAUGCCAAAGGAUUGGAAUGAAGUUUUACAUCCAUGCACUCUAGGAGAUUGUCUGACAAAUGGAUGAUUGUUAGAUGUGUUGGAAAAUCGGAAACCAUUCACGUCUUCUUCAUAGUACCAUGGAUGUCAAUGGACAAUGUAUUACUACACAGCCUGUGGCAUUAUAGUUUCUGUUUGGUUCCCAUAUCAAAGCUAUAAGGUUUUUUGUUCUUUCAUUUGAAAAUGAUGCACAUGUUUCUUUGACAAAAAUAAUACAUCUGUAAGUUUAGUUUCAUUGUGCAUCUAGUCUAGUCUCUAGACAGAUAGAUAGCAGCAUUAGCCUAUGUUAGUCAAAUUGGGUUAAUCAUGAUUCCUGAUAUUUUAUUGUUGUAUAAGUUUCAACUAAUUUGGUGUCCAGUUACUCUCUCAUCUGACAUCUAAACAAGACUUCUUUCUGGACAAGUUUUACUCAUUAGUCUCGAAUACAACACAUUAUUGUUUAUGGAGAA